UUGGAUGUGGACUUGGACUCUGUYGUGUCACAACGACUGGUCUUAAAUGAAUGAGUGCACCCUGCUGUUGCAGCGUCUUCAGUGUGAUAAGCAUCUUCACUGGAACAAAGUUCCCUUUUGGGACACGCAGGCAUUGUAGGCUCUGUGCUGGCAAACCGUCCUUUUUGGACAAAUCUUUGACAAUUUGACCUCAAAUCGGGUGGGACUACCCGCUGAACUUAAGCAUAUCAAUAAGCGGAGGAAAAGAAACUAACAAGGAUUCCCCUAGUAACGGCGAGUGAAGAGGGAAAAGCUCAAAUUUUGAAUCUGGUGUCUUUGGCGCCCGAGUUGUAAUCUAGAGAAGUGUUUUCUGCCUCGGACCACACAUAAAUUCCCUGGAAUGGGGUGUCAUAGAGGGUGAGAAUCCCGUUUGUGGUGUGGACUACCUUGGCUCUGUGAUACACUCUCAACGAGUCGAGUUGUUUGGGAAUGCAGCUCAAAAUGGGUGGUAAAUUCCAUCUAAAGCUAAAUAUUGGCGAGAGACCGAUAGCGAACAAGUACCGUGAGGGAAAGAUGAAAAGCACUUUGGAAAGAGAGUGAAACAGUACGUGAAAUUGUUGAAAGGGAAGCGUUUGAAGUCAGUCGCAUUGGUCGGAACUCAGCCUGGCUUCUGCCUGGUGUAUUUUCUGGCAAAUGGGUCAGUGUCAAUUUUGAUCGAGAGAGAAAGACUUGAGGAAUGUGGCUGUCUUCGGGCAGUGUUAUAGCCUCUUGUUGUAUGUCUCGGUUGGGAUUGAGGAACGCAGCACGCCUUUUGGCCGGGGUUCGCGCCCUCGGUACGUGCUUAGGACACUGGCAUAAUGGCUUUAAGCGAC
Molecule: ribosomal RNA, 851 nt
Filed under: uncultured Sebacinales
Lineage: Eukaryota; Fungi; Basidiomycota; Agaricomycetes; Sebacinales
Description: eukaryotic LSU rRNA
Source: RNAcentral